UACGUAGGUGGCAAGCGUUGUCCGGAUUCACUGGGUUUAAAGGGUGCGUAGGCGGCUCCAUAAGUCAGUCGUUAAAGGUAUGGGCUUAACCCAAAUAAGGCGAUUGAUACUGUGGAGCUUGAAUUCGUUGGAGGUAUCCGGAAUGCGUAGUGUAGCGGUGAAAUGCACAGAUAUUACGCAGAACACCAAUUGCGGAGGCAGGAUACUACGACGAGAUUGACGCUGAGGCACGAAAGUGUGGGGAGCGAACAGG
Molecule: ribosomal RNA, 253 nt
Filed under: uncultured bacterium
Lineage: Bacteria
Description: partial 16S ribosomal RNA
Rfam family: Bacterial small subunit ribosomal RNA
Source: RNAcentral